This is a non-coding RNA of Mycena polygramma, 101 nucleotides long. The record is from the annotation of a GenBank genome assembly. NCBI's taxonomy places the organism in Eukaryota, Fungi, Basidiomycota, Agaricomycetes, Agaricales, Mycenaceae.
GGCCCAAUGGUCUAGUCGUAGGAUACUCCCUUCGGGUUCAUCCCGCUUACUCUCGUAAGUUCUCAUGGGAGUGGUCCCGGGUUCAAUUCCCGGUUGAGCCC